Molecule: non-coding RNA, 2088 nt
Organism: Salmo salar (Atlantic salmon)
Lineage: Eukaryota; Metazoa; Chordata; Actinopteri; Salmoniformes; Salmonidae
Source: RefSeq, a predicted model, not a curated record
ACACACACACACACACACACACACACACACACACACACACACACACACACACACACACACACACACACACACACACCGGAUUCUAUUAAUCAGCUGCACACACAGCAGGACUUUGAUGAGUUGAAUUAGGUUGGUUAAUGCAGGGCUGGAACGAAAGCCCGAGGUAAAGGGUUGGCCAGAGCCGACAGAGCGAUGACUGUGUGGUGCUGGCCAACCACAAGAUGGCGCCAAAAGGCAUACUGGAAUACUGAGCAACGAUGGAGCAGAGGUGACCACACCUUGAUUAUCUAUCUACACACAAUGAAUGAAAGCAUCAACCUUCUGUGGACCUGAACACCAAGACACUACACUUGACAGACCUCCAGUGCAGGACCACCACACACUAGACUGCUGUUAUUAAGCUAAAUGGGUUUAAACAACUAUAUUGAAACGUGUGUGUGUGUGUGUGUGUGUGUGUGUGUGUGUGUGUGUGUGUGUGUGUGUGUGUGUGUGUGUGUGUGUGUGUGUGUGUGUGUGUGUGUGUGUGUGUGUGUGUGUGUGUCAUUAUUGCAUAAAUGUCACUUCCAAAUGCUGAAAAAAAAUUUGCAUUCAAAAUAGGCUCAAUGACUGAAAUUCUGUUUCUUGUAUAUGUUUUUUCUGAGUAAAGUGAGAGGUAAUAAAACCAUCCUCAACAGCAGAAGGGUUUUGUUACAGUUAUAGAUAAUGUAAUAAACCUUACAGCUACAGAUAAUGUAAUAAACCAUCCUCAACAGUAGAAGUGUUAUGUUACAGUUAUAGAUAAUGUAAUAAACCAUCCUGAACAGCAGAAGGGUUAUUUUACAGUUAUAGAUAAUGUAAUACACCAUCCUCAACAGUAGAAGUGUUAUGUUACAGUUAUAGAUAAUGUAAUAAACCAUCCUGAACAGCAGAAGGGUUAUUUUACAGUUAUAGAUAAUGUAAUACACCAUCCCCAACAGUAGAAGGGUUAUGUUACAGCUAUAGAUAAUGUAAUAAAACCAGCCUCAACAGCAGAAGGGUUAUGUUACAGUUAUAGAUAAUGUAAUAAACCAUCCUCAACAGUAGUAGAAGGGUUAUGUCACAGUUAUAGAUAAUGUAAUUAAACCAUCCUCAACAGCAGAAAGGUUAUGUUACAGUUACAGAUAAUGUAAUAAAACCAUCCUCAACAGUAGUAGAAGGGUUAUGUCACAGUUAUGGUCAUAGCUGUGGACAAUCAGAGACAUAGCUUGAGGCAUCAGAUCCUUACAUUGCCUGUCAUGUCUCUGUAUCUGGCACUAUAAAGAAACAGCAAUACACCAAGUCAACACUUUUGCCUUUGAACAUUCUUGUCCAGUUAAAAUGCCUUUGCCUUUUUCUUUCAGUAUUAGUUCAUCUUAUAGAAAUGGCUUCCCAACAUUGUAAUAAACUGUACAUGUAUCCACCUACAGGAUGUCGUAUCCUAUUCUAGAGAAUCCUCUUUGUGAAUGUUUCACUGGUUUUGAAAAAGAAAUUAGACCAUGAUAUAGACCAUCAAUAGCACCAUCAGCUCUCCUGUUGUGGAUUCCCCUGAUAUGUAACGUGUGUAUCACAGAGAUGGAACAGUUCUAUAUCUAUGGUGUGUAUAGUGUUUAGAGGCUGGUCAUGUACUAUAGAUUCUAUCUAUAUACUGUAGUAUGUUGUGCAUUCCCUGGUUGGACAUGGAGAUUGGAGAAUUAUUUAUUAUUAUAAUAAUAUACUUAUUUAUUUGCUCGUUGUGCACUACUUUUGACCAGGUAGUGUACUAUGUAGGGAAUAGGGUAUAAUUUUGCUGUUUUUUACCUGCCGUGGGGUUCCAAUGGGUUAGGAACUGGUCUGCAUGAUGUGGUAAAGCCAUGGAUUGACCACCAAGAAAAAUAUGCAUGUAACAAAAAACAUUUCCUUGUGAAGUAGUUGUAUUCUACAUGUCGCUACAAUGCCCAAAUCAGCAUGUACUAACAAAUAUUAUUUCCAAAAGGGCAACAAAAGCAAUACAAAGUCACUGCUCUUCUCUCUCUCAUCACUAUUUUCUUUAUGCUUUUCAUUUUUUACAAUUAUUUUGAGAUGUUAAAUAAUAAAUCAAAUGUUUUGUUUUAU